Molecule: long non-coding RNA, 3477 nt
Organism: Oncorhynchus tshawytscha (Chinook salmon)
Lineage: Eukaryota; Metazoa; Chordata; Actinopteri; Salmoniformes; Salmonidae
Source: Ensembl
GGAAAUGAUUGUAUCACAAUACCAGACAGCCAUUGAGAGUGUACUCGUGAGUUUACCAGUCAAAUGAAUGCAAUAAAGAGGUCAAUGGAACACAGACAGUAGGGGAUAGAAUAAGGAUGCAGGAUUGCCGCACAUUCAACAAAUCUGAUAUAACAAAGUAGAUAUUCAUCAAAUCCGUCAUGAUUGAUGUAUUGUAACAGGCCCACAAUAUGGUUACUAAAGUCCAAUUUGGAUAUAUUUGGCUGUUUUUGCUGCAUAACAUUUAGAAGCUGUUCCUUUUCCAGUUUAGAAGAAGUGACUCCUAAAUGCUAACUCCCAUUCGCAUAAGCUGGUAGCAUAGCUAGCAUACAGAAAUCGGUGGUGGUAGUCAAAGUCGUUUUUUAACUGCAAUGCUGUUGAUUGGUGACGAUGUCCCAAAAAAUAUUUGGGGUUAACAUCUAUACAAACAUUAUAUUCAGAUUUUUACCUCAACCUAGUGUGAAAUACACAUAUAAACAAUAGCCUAAAUGCAGGAACAUUUUGCUAGGGGGCAAUGAGGAGAAUUGGGAUCGUUCCCCGACAGCAAAUUUCCCCCACGUGUUUCCAUGGCAUUUCCAUUGUUUGAGUCAAGUUCCAUUGACCUCUUUACUGCAUAAUUUGCCAAGGUUAGAGCUUCCAAGCCCUCUCUAUUCAUUAUAUUUCUAUGGUGCUGCCUGCCUAUCACAGCUUGAAGUUCCAGUGAGAUGGGUUAUUAUGAUGUAAGAGGUAGAGGAAGAGAUGACCUAUGAAAUGAUCUCUGUCUGCAUGCAUUAACAUUGUCAUAUUUUUCAAAGAAACGCACAGGCAAGCCAAGCUCCACCAAAGAAAAUAUUUGCAAGGCCGAAGACCUUAGGGACGUUGUUCUAAAGGUAAUACAAUCAGGCGACCACUAACCCAAAAGAAACCUGGUCUGUACGUAACUGUAGAAGUUUGAAAUGAAUGAUGUUCUGUAGAUACUGUCUCCUACUGCUGAUACUGGUGCACUGAAUCGAUCAGCCAACAACAAUAAAGCAAUGGACUGAUUUCAGUUUUAAAAGAUGUCAAUUUUUUGCACCUAGGGUUUACUAAGGGUUACUUAUUAUAGUCAAUCAUAAAGGUGUCUUAAAAUACGGUUGAAAUAAUUGUAACAUGUUAAAAUUGACUAAAAUGGCCCGUCAUUAUACAAUAAGGCCCUAUGUCAAAUGACUUUUGCAUAAUUGAUAUAGAAGAACAAAAGAACAAUCAGGUAUAACAGUCUUUUUUUAUUCUCCAAGCCAUCAAUGAACAUUCCUCAAUGUUUGCACCACUAUAAAAGGCCAAAACUUUUCAUCCAUUAUUUUUUCAUAUAGUUAAGGAAAGGAUAUGUGAAAGUCUAAAUUAGAUCACUAUUGAAUGCUAAUUCCAAAAAAACAUUUUUAAUAUUCAUCAGCCUCACACACAAAGACAAGACUAUUCAUUCCAUUCAACAUUUCCAAUGUCACGUUUCUUUGCUCUGUUGUCCAGUUUUCCUAUACUCAUCCCUCAAAUUUCACUGGCUUUCAUCUCACCACAAAUGCUGCAAACACAGGCUGCCCCUCUACAAUGACAUGUGGGGCACAAAGACUCAGUGGGGCACACUGCAUCCAUGUCUCACAUCUCUUCCUACAUGUAUCUCACUCCCCCUCUCUACACUUGAGUGGUUGUAUUUCCUUUUGGUUAAUCGGAAACUCGUUUGCCACAACAGACAUUUUUAUAUUUAUCUUCAGAAGCUUGUGUUGGAGGUUUUUUCGGAUCAUUAGGUACAUCACAUUUAUAUUAGCUUCAGACCAAGUCUACAGCCUGACUUAUUGCCUCACCGAUUGCCUCAGGAAUCUGGAUGUCGCCGGGCAGGUUCAAGUUCUUUUUUAAUUCGCAGUAACUUUGCACCUCAACGGCAUCCUCUGGCUUGUCAAUGCCGUUGACACAUUCCUUUUGCUGUGGCUCCGGGGCAGACACGGCAGCCGGCUCGACCGCCUGCUCCUGACACUCCCCAUUGACCUCAGGGGCAGAAGGCUCAGCAGUAGCCUCCACUGAGGAAACAACUUCCUUGUUGUCCAGCACAGCCUCCUCUUGCUCAGCGCUGGCCUCCUCUGCAGCAGCAGGUGCAGCAGAUUCUGAAAUGAUGAUCUCCGGGAUGGGUUCUGCGAUGUCGGCAGCGUCUGGCUCUGCUGCUUCAGUUACUGCAUCAGCAGCUUCAGAUUCAAGCUCUGCUACGGAUUCUUCUACAGGUAGGGGGAGCUCUUCAGCAGCUGGUUGUGGGAUGGAAUCUGCCUCUGGCUCUGCGGCUGCCUCUGUGGCUGACUCUGACACGGCUUCUGCAACUGAUGCAGGCUCCUCCUCCGGGGUGGGUGAAGCUGCUUCUGCCUCUACUGGUGCCUCGACCACAGCAUCAGGUUCUGGGGCCUUCCCUGUAACAGUCUCUGUUUCAGGCUCUGGAGCGGCAGGCUCUGGUUCUGUAGUGUCUGUAAUCUCUGCUGUCACCUCUGUGGCUUGUUCUGUAGCCUCAGAAGCCUUUUCUGGUGCUGCAGCUAGCUCCACAGAGGCUGCCACAGGCUCUUCUGGUGCAGGCUCUUUUGGUGCUGCCUCAGGCUCCUCUGGUGCAGGCUCUUUCGGUGCUGCCGCAGGCUCUUCUGAUGGAGGCUCUUCCACUGCAGGCUCUUUUGGUGCUGCUGCAGGCUCUUCUGGUGCAGGUUGUUUUUGGGCUGCUGCAGGCUCUUCUGGUGCAGGUUCUUUUGGUGCUGUUGCAGGCUCUUCUGGUACAGGCUCUUCUGGUACAGGCUCUUCCACUGCAGGCUCUUUUGGUGCAGCCGCUGGUUCCUUUAGUGCCGCUGGUUCUUCCGGUGCCUCUGUUUUAUCUGUUGCUGCUGCAGGUUCCUCUGGUGCUGCCGCAGGUUCCUCCAGUGAUGCUGCUGGUUCCUCAGCUGCUGCAGGUUCUUCCCGUGCUGCCACUGGCUCUUCUAAGGCUGCAGGUUCUUCUGGUGCUGCAGCUGGUGCUGGGUCCUCUGGUGCUGUGGCUGGUUCUUCUGAAGCCACUGGUUCUUCUGCUGCUGGCGCUGGUUCUGCCGGUGCUGCCACGGGUUCAUCUGGUACAGCCGCUGGCUCUGCGGUGGCCCCCUUGGCCACGGCCUCUAUAGCUGACAGUGCCUCUUCUGUCGCUUCUGUGAUGGCUACCACUGUCGACUCCACUGCUCCCUCCACCGCAGCAGACACCUUAGGAGCAGUCUUCGCUGCCAACUCAGCGACCGGAGCUGGUGCUUUGCUCUCCACAACAUGGGUCACGGCCUCAACGGCACUCACAGCAGCCACAGUAAUCUCCUCCUUCUUGUCCUUUGGGUCGCUGACAUCGUACCCCUUCUUCCGCUUGCUCAGCUUGCCUCCCAUGGUGUCUCCUAAAAGUGAAUAAUACAAUCAGAAUGACUUAACAAGUGGGAUAGGUUGUGGCGUUUGAAAAUAUAUGUAUAG